UACGUAGGGUGCAAGCGUUAAUCGGAAUUACUGGGCGUAAAGCGUGCGCAGGCGGUUUUGUAAGUCUGACGUGAAAUCCCCGGGCUCAACCUGGGAAUUGCGUUGGAGACUGCAAGGCUAGAAUCUGGCAGAGGGGGGUAGAAUUCCACGUGUAGCAGUGAAAUGCGUAGAGAUGUGGAGGAACACCGAUGGCGAAGGCAGCCCCCUGGGUCAAGAUUGACGCUCAUGCACGAAAGCGUGGGGAUCAAACAGG
RNAcentral lists this ribosomal RNA (253 nucleotides) under uncultured bacterium. RNAcentral's name for it is "partial 16S ribosomal RNA". It matches the Rfam family "Bacterial small subunit ribosomal RNA", at positions 524 to 776 of the family's 1533-position model. The record is from RNAcentral.